ACGACUGCUGCUAAGACUGGAUAGGAAGAUAAAAGGCAUCUUGUAUCUUUUAAAAGACCUAGUUAAUAGGUAUGCUUUAGGAGGGGCUUGCACCAUAUUAGUUAGUUGGUAGGGUAAUGGCCUACCAAGACGAUGAUGUGUAGCUGGACUGAGAGGUUGAACAGCCACAUUGGGACUGAGACACGGCCCAAACUCCUACGGGAGGCAGCAGUAGGGAAUUUUCGGCAAUGGAGGAGACUCUGACCGAGCAACGCCGCGUGAAUGACGAAGUACUUCGGUAUGUAAAGUUCUUUUAUCGAGGAAGAAAAGCAAAUGGCGAACCAUUUGUUUGCCGGUACUUGAUGAAUAAGCCCCGGCUAAUUAUGUGCCAGCAGCCGCGGUAAGACAUAAGGGGCAAGUGUUAUCCGGAAUUAUUGGGCGUAAAGGGUGCGUAGGCGGUCUAGUAAGUCAGUGGUGUAAUGUCAACGCUUAACGUUGUCCGGCUAUUGAAACUGCUAAACUUGAGUUAGAUAGAGGCGAGUGGAAUUCCAUGUGUAGCGGUAAAAUGCGUAAAUAUAUGGAGGAACACCAGAGGCGUAGGCGGCUCGCUGGGUCUUAACUGACGCUGAGGCACGAAAGCGUGGGGAGCAAACAGGAUUAGAUACCCUGGUAGUCCACGCCGUAAACGAUGAGUACUAAGUGUCGGGUUAAACCGGUACUGAAGUUAACACAUUAAGUACUCCGCCUGAGUAGUACGUACGCAAGUAUGAAACUUAAAGGAAUUGACGGGACUCCGCACAAGCGGUGGAUCAUGUUGUUUAAUUCGAAGAUACCCGAAAAACCUUACCAGGUCUUGACAUGUUUUUGCAAAAUGAUAGUAAUAUCGUGGAGGUUACCAGAAACACAGGUGGUGCAUGGUUGUCGUCAGCUCGUGUCGUGAGAUGUUAGGUUAAGUCCUAAAACGAGCGAAACCCUUAUCGUUAGUUGCCAGCACGUUAUGGUGGGGACUUUAACGAGACUGCCAAUGAUAAAUUGGAGGAAGGUGAGGAUCACGUCAAAUCAGCAUGCCCCUUAUGACCUGGGCUACAAACGUGAUACAAUGGCUGUUACAAAGGGUAGCUGAAACGCAAGUUCUUGGCCAAUCCCCAAAAACAGUCCCAGUCCGGAUUGAAGUCUGCAACUCGACUUCAUGAAGUUGGAAUCGCUAGUAAUCGCGAAUCAGCAUGUCGCGGUGAAUACGUUCACGGGGUUUGUACACACCGCCCGUCA
RNAcentral lists this ribosomal RNA (1248 nucleotides) under Candidatus Phytoplasma citri. RNAcentral describes it as "bacterial SSU rRNA". It matches the Rfam family "Bacterial small subunit ribosomal RNA", at positions 153 to 1399 of the family's 1533-position model. Lineage: Bacteria; Bacillati; Mycoplasmatota; Mollicutes; Acholeplasmatales; Acholeplasmataceae. The record is from RNAcentral.